Transfer RNA from Camelus ferus (Wild Bactrian camel), 72 nucleotides. It matches the Rfam family "tRNA". Rfam says of the family: Transfer RNA (tRNA) molecules are approximately 80 nucleotides in length. Their secondary structure includes four short double-helical elements and three loops (D, anti-codon, and T loops). Further hydrogen bonds mediate the characteristic L-shaped molecular structure. tRNAs have two regions of fundamental functional importance: the anti-codon, which is responsible for specific mRNA codon recognition, and the 3' end, to which the tRNAs corresponding amino acid is attached (by aminoacyl-tRNA synthetases). tRNAs cope with the degeneracy of the genetic code in two manners: having more than one tRNA (with a specific anti-codon) for a particular amino acid; and 'wobble' base-pairing, i.e. permitting non-standard base-pairing at the 3rd anti-codon position. NCBI's taxonomy places the organism in Eukaryota, Metazoa, Chordata, Mammalia, Artiodactyla, Camelidae. The record is from Rfam.
GGAGGUAUAGCUUAGUGGUAGAACUUGUGCUUGGCAUGCACAAGGUCCUGGGUUCAAUCCCCGGUGCCUCCA